UUGAGGUCUAGAAGCUUACUCAUGUACGCUCCUUCUCAUGCAAGAAGACGUACUCAAUUUCUACUCUCUUCUAUCAGUCUCCUCACUCCUGUCUCUCAUGUCUCCUUUUCCUCCCACCGUUCCUGUCACCCACGCAGCACGCCGGAGCAGCUGUAGCAGUCGAGCUCGGCAUCAGCUCCCUUGCUGCUCACUUUGCAGCACCUCGCCAGCUCCCUGGUAACACUCUGCACCUGCCGUCGAACUCUCUCAGGUUCGGUCAUCCCUGCUCCCUUCCAAAUCAACGCCCCUCCACUCGACUCUACUACUGUGUCGUGCGCGCGCUUCCUCCUGCUUCCGUCGCUGGGUGCGUGCUCAUCUUCCGUCGCGUGCCACCUGGUCGAUAGAAUGAGCAGUUUGGUCGUCCCCAUCUCGCCGUGGUUCGUCCUCACCAUGUUUUCAGAUGUGUUUGGGCUGAGAUGCCAUUCGAAAUCGAUGAUCUGUUCGUCGCCACCGGCCGCAAGCACCAGUUUUGUUGAACGUGAGAACGUCUUAAUCUGUUGAUAUGAGUUGAAAAUUGAUGUGUCGAUCUGUGGUUUGACCUAGUGUUCUCGUCAUGUCUAUGUUCUGGUCGAGGCCCUAGAUACGUGAUUGAAGAUCCUUUGUGGUGAUGAAGGUGAAAUCAGCAUAGCACUCGCCAAGCGUUCUACAGAAGAGCCCUCAACAGAAGGAGUGAAGAUUCAAGAUGAAGUGGUAGCUGAAGAGGAGUUUGCUCUAGUGCCUGUUCAUCAAGUGGAUGUAGCCAUCUAACUGAUCAUCAUGGUAGAAGUAUCUAGAACCUCUUCUCUGCAACAAAGGCAAGCCCCGGUGCAUUUGCCCCUUCCUUGUGUUUUAAAUGCUUUAUCACCUUAAAUGAUGCAUUAGGUGAUAGGAGUUGUGUGAUGAACAAUUGAUGCAUUACCAUUACUUGGAAUUUGAAUACUAUACCUUGAUCCCUGAUUUAUAAAAAGAACUGAUAAUGCUUAACCCUGCUUAGAAACUGAAAAAUCAUUUGUUUUCAAAAAGAAUGAUUGUGGAACAUUGGUUAUGGGCUUUUUGAUUAAAAAAUCAAAGCAAACUAAGGUGAUGACUCCACUUCGGCCGGAGUGGGCUCAUCAUUGGAAAAGAGUACCCCUGCCGGGUACCAAAAAUGGGGAAAUGGUUAAUAAAUCUAGACCAGGCGCUGAGCAGACAGAGUCGCCCGUCUGUGUCGAUUAAGGACCGUACCGUUGACUGGCCUGUUGUGGUUGAGACUUUGCAACUAGCCACAUACCCUGGUAUGGGACAGGGUAAGCUUGAACCCGGCUAUUCCAUACGUAAAGAGACAAUCGCGCACUGGGAGUGGAGAGAUGGCGGGAGUAGCAUGUACCCUCCUGGCAUAGUAGCACGCUUGAUAGGGUAAUGUGCUCUCGGGUGGCGCGGACCUGUUCAUGUAGUGGAGGACUCCGUGGGAACAGUUGACAUAUGCAAGGGUUAAGUGCUACAUAUGUCGUGUGGUUAGAGAUCCCCAGCUGGGUAUAAUCGGUUCGAAUCGUCGUUGCUUCUCGGUUAUGGAGACUCAUCCCGGUGACCAUCAUCGUAGUUAGCAAGUGAAAUAUGAGAAUGAAUAAAAUGGAGCUAGUAUAGGCCAAGUGCUUGAACUAGAUCAGGCAAAUAUAGAUUCAGGUAAUAACCUAACUAGUGAAAUAAAACUUAGCUUAAGGAUCAACUGGUAGCAAGCUUUUCUGCAAAAAAGGAUCCUUUGAUCAUUGAUAAACUUUACCUUGACUCCCAAUCAGCUAGCAUACCCUUGAGAGUCUUUUCUUUAGUCGGGUAAGUCUUGCUGAGUAAUUGCGUACUCAGGGUUUUAUCCCCUAUUGUUUUUGCAGGAGAAGUUUUAUUCCCUUAUCUUUUGGUUAGUUACUUCAUGUGGAGGCCUUGAAGCUUAGAAUGUUUAUGUGUAUCUCUUAUGGAAAGGCUUCACCCUUCCUAUUAUUGUAAUAAAUUAUGCACUUUGGGUACUAUCAGGACUUGUAAUAAAUACAUCUCUUUCUACCUUGUAAAA
Long non-coding RNA from Zea mays, 2059 nucleotides. RefSeq lists it as uncharacterized. The transcript has 2 exons. NCBI's taxonomy places the organism in Eukaryota, Viridiplantae, Streptophyta, Magnoliopsida, Poales, Poaceae. The record is from RefSeq and is a predicted model, not a curated record.